AACGAACGCUGGCGGCAGGCUUAACACAUGCAAGUCGAACGCCCCGCAAGGGGAGUGGCAGACGGGUGAGUAACGCGUGGGAACCUACCCAGUUCUACGGAAUAACCCAGGGAAACUUGGACUAAUACCGUAUACGCCCUACGGGGGAAAGAUUUAUCGGAAUUGGAUGAGCCCGCGUUGGAUUAGCUAGUUGGUGGGGUAAUGGCCUACCAAGGCGACGAUCCAUAGCUGGUCUGAGAGGAUGAUCAGCCACACUGGGACUGAGACACGGCCCAGACUCCUACGGGAGGCAGCAGUGGGGAAUAUUGGACAAUGGGCGCAAGCCUGAUCCAGCCAUGCCGCGUGAGUGAUGAAGGCCUUAGGGUUGUAAAGCUCUUUCAGAGGGGACGAUAAUGACGGUACCCACAGAAGAAGCCCCGGCUAACUUCGUGCCAGCAGCCGCGGUAA
Molecule: ribosomal RNA, 447 nt
Filed under: uncultured bacterium
Lineage: Bacteria
Description: partial 16S ribosomal RNA
Rfam family: Bacterial small subunit ribosomal RNA
Source: RNAcentral